UGGGUAUGUAGCUUAGUGGAUGAGAGUCUAUGGCUACGAACCAUAAGGUCGGGGGUUCGAGUCCCUCCAUACCCAUC
This 77-nucleotide transfer RNA is filed under the name Pseudochlorodesmis sp. HV01306b. Its description in RNAcentral is "tRNA-Arg". It matches the Rfam family "tRNA". Rfam says of the family: Transfer RNA (tRNA) molecules are approximately 80 nucleotides in length. The record is from RNAcentral. Lineage: Eukaryota; Viridiplantae; Chlorophyta; Ulvophyceae; Bryopsidales; Bryopsidaceae.